This is a microRNA precursor of Mesocricetus auratus (golden hamster), 76 nucleotides long. The record is from Ensembl. NCBI's taxonomy places the organism in Eukaryota, Metazoa, Chordata, Mammalia, Rodentia, Cricetidae.
GAGCAAGCCAUGGAGAGCAAGCCAGUAAGCAGCGUCCCUCCAUGGCCUCUGCAUCAGCUCCUGCCUCCAUGACCCC